Molecule: transfer RNA, 95 nt
Organism: Rhizoctonia solani AG-1 IA
Lineage: Eukaryota; Fungi; Basidiomycota; Agaricomycetes; Cantharellales; Ceratobasidiaceae
Rfam family: tRNA
About the family: Transfer RNA (tRNA) molecules are approximately 80 nucleotides in length. Their secondary structure includes four short double-helical elements and three loops (D, anti-codon, and T loops).
Source: Rfam
GGGCAUGUAGCGCAGUUGGUAGCGCGCUCGCUUAGCAAUGGCAUACUGCCUACAUGGCGUGCGAGAGGUCCUGGAUUCAAAUUCCAGCUUGUCCA